RNAcentral lists this ribosomal RNA (175 nucleotides) under Heliocybe sulcata. RNAcentral's name for it is "partial large subunit ribosomal RNA". The record is from RNAcentral. Lineage: Eukaryota; Fungi; Basidiomycota; Agaricomycetes; Gloeophyllales; Gloeophyllaceae.
CGCUUGAAGUCAGUCGCGUUGGCCGGGACUCAGCCUUGCUUUCCGCUUGGUGUAUUUUCCGCCGACGGGCCAACAUCAAUUUUGACUGCUGGACAAGGGCUGGAGGAAUGUGGCACCCUCGGGUGUGUUAUAGCCUCUGGUCGUAUACGGCAGUUGGGAUUGAGGACCGCAGCUU